GACGAACGCUGGCGGCGUGCCUAAUACAUGCAAGUAGAACGCUGAAGGAGGAGCUUGCUUCUCCGGAUGAGUUGCGAACGGGUGAGUAACGCGUAGGUAACCUGCCUGGUAGCGGGGGAUAACUAUUGGAAACGAUAGCUAAUACCGCAUAACAGUAGAUAUCGCAUGAUAUCUGCUUGAAAGGUGCAAUUGCAUCACUACCAGAUGGACCUGCGUUGUAUUAGCUAGUUGGUGAGGUAACGGCUCACCAAGGCGACGAUACAUAGCCGACCUGGGAGGGUGAUCGGCCACACUGGGACUGAGACACGGCCCAGACUCCUACGGGAGGCAGCAGUAGGGAAUCUUCGGCAAUGGACGGAAGUCUGACCGAGCAACGCCGCGUGAGUGAAGAAGGUUUUCGGAUCGUAAAGCUCUGUUGUAAGAGAAGAACGAGUGUGAGAGUGGAAAGUUCACACUGUGACGGUAUCUUACCAGAAAGGGACGGCUAACUACGUG
RNAcentral lists this ribosomal RNA (495 nucleotides) under uncultured bacterium. RNAcentral describes it as "partial 16S ribosomal RNA". It matches the Rfam family "Bacterial small subunit ribosomal RNA", at positions 28 to 507 of the family's 1533-position model. The record is from RNAcentral.